UUGCCAGACUCCUACGGGAGGCAGCAGUGGGGAAUAUUGCACAAUGGGCGCAAGCCUGAUGCAGCCAUGCCGCGUGUAUGAAGAAGGCCUUCGGGUUGUAAGGUACUUUCAGUCGGGAGGAAGGUGGUAAGGUUAAUAACCUUAUCAAUUGACGUUACCGACAGAAGAAGCACCGGCUAACUCCGUGCCAGCAGCCGCGGUAAUACGGAGGGUGCAAGCGUUAAUCGGAAUUACUGGGCGUAAAGCGCACGCAGGCGGUUGAUUGAGUCAGAUGUGAAAUCCCCGGGCUCAACCUGGGAACUGCAUUCGAAACUGGCAGGCUGGAGUCUUGGAGAGGGGGGUAGAAUUCCAGGUGUAGCGGUGAAAUGCGUAGAGAUCUGGAGGAAUACCGGUGGCGAAGGCGGCCCCCUGGACAAAGACUGACGCUCAGGUUCGAAAGCGUGGGGAGCAAACAGGAUUAGAUACCCUCGUAA
RNAcentral lists this ribosomal RNA (473 nucleotides) under uncultured bacterium. RNAcentral describes it as "bacterial SSU rRNA". It matches the Rfam family "Bacterial small subunit ribosomal RNA", at positions 328 to 793 of the family's 1533-position model. The record is from RNAcentral.